RNAcentral lists this transfer RNA (68 nucleotides) under Paratectonatica tigrina. Its description in RNAcentral is "tRNA-Val". The record is from RNAcentral. Lineage: Eukaryota; Metazoa; Mollusca; Gastropoda; Littorinimorpha; Naticidae.
AAGAAUGUAGCAUAAAUAAAUGCAAUUCAUUUACACUGAAUGUAUACUUUAAUUAAAAGUCAUUUUUA